This 1376-nucleotide ribosomal RNA is filed under the name metagenome. RNAcentral describes it as "bacterial LSU rRNA". It matches the Rfam family "Bacterial large subunit ribosomal RNA", at positions 1524 to 2925 of the family's 2925-position model. The record is from RNAcentral.
UGAGAAUGGCAGGCAAAUCCACCAUUCAAUCUGAAGACGUGACGCGUACCGAACAAGAGUAGGGAAGUGUAUGAGCCAGCUGUCGAGAAAAGCCGCUAUUGUGAUAUAUGUGCCCGUACCGUAAACCGACACAGGUGGAUGAGGAGAGAAUCCUAAGGCCGGCGGGAGAAGUGUUGUUAAGGAACUCGGCAAAAUGACCCCGUAACUUCGGGAGAAGGGGUGCCUCGGAAGAGGCCGCAGAGAAAUGGCCCAAGCAACUGUUUAGCAAAAACAUAGGUCUAUGCAAAACCGAAAGGUGAGGUAUAUGGGCUGACGCCUGCCCGGUGCUGGAAGGUUAAGAGGAGAGCUUAGCGCAAGCGAAGGUUUGAAUUUAAGCCCCAGUAAACGGCGGCCGUAACUAUAACGGUCCUAAGGUAGCGAAAUUCCUUGUCGGGUAAGUUCCGACCCGCACGAAAGGCGUAAUGAUUUGGGCACUGUCUCAACAACACACCCGGUGAAAUUGAAAUACCAGUGAAGAUGCUGGUUACCUGCGCCAGGACGGAAAGACCCCAUGGAGCUUUACUCCAGCUUGAUACUGGGAUUCGGUACUACCUGUACAGGAUAGGUGGGAGGCUAUGAUCACGGGACGCCAGUUUCGUGUGAGCCGCUGUUGGGAUACCACCCUUGUAGUACUGGAUUCCUAACCUACAGCCGUGAACCGGCUGGGGGACAAUGUCUGGCGGGGAGUUUGCCUGGGGCGGUCGCCUCCGAAAGGGUAUCGGAGGCGCUCAAAGGUUCCCUCAGAAUGGUUGGAAACCAUUCGAAGAGUGCAAAGGCAGAAGGGAGCUUGACUGCGACACCGACGGGUGGAGCAGGUACGAAAGUAGGACUUAGUGAUCCGGUGGUAUAAAGUGGGAUUGCCAUCGCUCAACGGAUAAAAGCUACCCUGGGAUAACAGGCUUAUCACUCCCAAGAGUUCACAUCGACGGAGUGGUUUGGCACCUCGAUGUCGGCUCAUCGUAUCCUGGAGCUGUAGCAGGUUCCAAGGGUUGGGCUGUUCGCCCAUUAAAGCGGUACGCGAGCUGGGUUCAGAACGUCGUGAGACAGUUCGGUCCCUAUCCGGCGUGGGCGUAGGAUAUUUGAGAGGAGCUGUCCUUAGUACGAGAGGACCGGGAUGGACGGACCGCUGGUGUAUCUGUUGUUGUACCAACAGCAUGGCAGAGUAGCCAAGUCCGGCAGGGAUAAACGCUGAAGGCAUCUAAGCGUGAAGCCCCCCACAAGAUAAGAUAUCCCAUCAUAAGAGUAAGACCCCUUGAAGACUACAAGGUUGAUAGGCUUGGAGUGUAAUCGUGGCAACACGUUCAGCUGACAAGUACUAAUAGGUCGAGGGCUUACCA